This 494-nucleotide ribosomal RNA is filed under the name uncultured bacterium. RNAcentral describes it as "partial 16S ribosomal RNA". It matches the Rfam family "Bacterial small subunit ribosomal RNA", at positions 28 to 507 of the family's 1533-position model. The record is from RNAcentral.
GAUGAACGCUGGCGGCGUGCUUAAUACAUGCAAGUCGAGCGGACAAACGACUGCCUUUCUGCUGUGUGUGGAGGAGCGGACAAGGGGUGAGUAACAGUAGAGUAACCUUCCCCCACUGGCUGGAUUACCGCAUAAAAGAGCGGCUAACACGGGAUAUAUUGGGGCGCUCGCUUCAUUGGUUAGAGAAGGUUUUUCUGUCGGUGGGGGAUGGGCUCGCGGCCUAUCAGCUUGUUGGUGGGGUGAUGGCCUACCAAGGCGAUGACUGGUAGCCGGCCUGGGAGGGUGGACGGUCACACUGGGGCUGAGACACGGCCCAGACUCCUACGGGAGGCAGCAGUGGGGAAUAUUGCACGAUGGGCGGAAGCCUGAUGCAGCGCCGCCGCGUGAGGGAUGGAGGCCUUCGGGUUGUGAACCUCUUUCGCCAGUGAAGAAGGCCUGCCUCGUUUGUGGGUGGGUUGACGGUAGCUGGAUAAGAAGCGCCGGCUAACUACGUG